GGGGCGGGGAGCAAGCAUUAAUCAGAACAUCGAAGUGAGCCCCACCAUGGCUACGUGUACAAAUAGCUGUUGAUGGCUUUGCCAUGCUUACUGAACUGAGCAGACCCAGGCAGCCCCAAAUCAGAGCCUGCCCUCCGGCAAGGGCUCCCGGACCUCUUCACAGGUGAAGUCCACGGAGACCCGGAAAGCUGCUGAGGUACAGGGGUGUGCCCAAGACUCCCUGUAACUGGCAGCCACAGUGAAGUCAACACGGAGAGAGCUGGACCACAGGUAGACAUCCAGUACCGGGGACCUGUGUGAGCGCCUGAUCCAGCCUUACCUGAAGCCAAUGAUCCCUGGAACCCUGUUGAUCAAUAAACCAGUAAAUGCCUCCACCUCUCUUCCACUUUAA
Acinonyx jubatus (cheetah) is the source of this 391-nucleotide long non-coding RNA. RefSeq lists it as uncharacterized. The transcript is spliced from 3 exons. The record is from RefSeq and is a predicted model, not a curated record. Lineage: Eukaryota; Metazoa; Chordata; Mammalia; Carnivora; Felidae.